Molecule: unclassified non-coding RNA, 399 nt
Filed under: Hevea brasiliensis (rubber tree)
Lineage: Eukaryota; Viridiplantae; Streptophyta; Magnoliopsida; Malpighiales; Euphorbiaceae
Source: RNAcentral
CUGCUGCGCAGGAUGAACCUAUUGUUGCUAACAAAGUAAUGGAUGAUACAUCUAGGCCUGACAAUGGCUCAGAAGGUGAUAGCAAAGAAUCUACUGACAAGUUAAAGAUCAAAACUCUGAGGAUUGGAAUCAACUCGAAGCAGAAAACCCCAGAGACUGCAAGUCCAUCCAGUGAUGAAAAUGGUGAAGGUGGUAAUGAAUUUUGUGUCACAGCCAGACCUAGAGAGGAACACUCUUAAACAAUCUAGUGAAAAAUGAGCAACGAAGUGAAGUGGUAUCUUUGGACUCAGCUGAAACUAGUUAACGGAAACUAAUUAAAGUGUGUACAGAAAGAAAGGAGCGAGAGAUGAGAGGCUAGGAAGCCUUGUAAGUUUUGGUUUGGAGCAGGGAUAGUGUCAG